GACAGAGGUGGCAAGCGUUGUUCGGAUUUACUGGGCGUAAAGAGCGCGCAGGCGGUCGUUCAAGUCGCGUGUGAAAGCCCCCGGCUCAACUGGGGAGGGUCACGCGAUACUGAUCGACUCGAAGGCAGGAGAGGGUAGUGGAAUUCCCGGUGUAGUGGUGAAAUGCGUAGAUAUCCGGAGGAACACCGGUGGCGAAGGCGGCUUCCUGGACCGAUUACUGACGCUGAGGCGCGAAAGCUAGGGGAGCAAACGGG
This 254-nucleotide ribosomal RNA is filed under the name uncultured bacterium. Its description in RNAcentral is "partial 16S ribosomal RNA". It matches the Rfam family "Bacterial small subunit ribosomal RNA", at positions 524 to 776 of the family's 1533-position model. The record is from RNAcentral.